GGGCGUUAAGUUGCAGGGUAUAGACCCGAAACCCGGUGAUCUAGCCAUGGGCAGGUUGAAGGUUGGGUAACACUAACUGGAGGACCGAACCGACUAAUGUUGAAAAAUUAGCGGAUGACCUGUGGCUGGGGGUGAAAGGCCAAUCAAACCGGGAGAUAGCUGGUUCUCCCCGAAAGCUAUUUAGGUAGCGCCUCGUGAAUUCAUCUCCGGGGGUAGAGCACUGUUUCGGCUAGGGGGCCAUCCCGGCUUACCAACCCGAUGCAAACUGCGAAUACCGGAGAAUGUUAUCACGGGAGACACACGGCGGGUGCUAACGUCCGUCGUGAAGAGGGAAACAACCCAGACCGCCAGCUAAGGUCCCAAAGUCAUGGUUAAGUGGGAAACGAUGUGGGAAGGCCCAGACAGCCAGGAUGUUGGCUUAGAAGCAGCCAUCAUUUAAAGAAAGCGUAAUAGCUCACUGGUCGAGUCGGCCUGCGCGGAAGAUGUAACGGGGCUAAACCAUGCACCGAAGCUGCGGCAGCGACGCUUAUGCGUUGUUGGGUAGGGGAGCGUUCUGUAAGCCUGCGAAGGUGUGCUGUGAGGCAUGCUGGAGGUAUCAGAAGUGCGAAUGCUGACAUAAGUAACGAUAAAGCGGGUGAAAAGCCCGCUCGCCGGAAGACCAAGGGUUCCUGUCCAACGUUAAUCGGGGCAGGGUGAGUCGACCCCUAAGGCGAGGCCGAAAGGCGUAGUCGAUGGGAAACAGGUUAAUAUUCCUGUACUUGGUGUUACUGCGAAGGGGGGACGGAGAAGGCUAUGUCGGCCGGGCGACGGUUGUCCCGGUUUAAGCGUGUAGGCUGACUUUCCAGGCAAAUCCGGAGAGUUAAGGCUGAGGCGUGAUGACGAGGCACCACGGUGCUGAAGUGACAAAUGCCCUGCUUCCAGGAAAAGCCUCUAAGCAUCAGGUAACAUCAAAUCGUACCCCAAACCGACACAGGUGGUCAGGUAGAGAAUACCAAGGCGCUUGAGAGAACUCGGGUGAAGGAACUAGGCAAAAUGGUGCCGUAACUUCGGGAGAAGGCACGCUGACAUGUAGGUGAAGCCCCUGCGGGUGGAGCUGAAGUCAGUCGAAGAUACCAGCUGGCUGCAACUGUUUAUUAAAAACACAGCACUGUGCAAACACGAAAGUGGACGUAUACGGUGUGACGCCUGCCCGGUGCCGGAAGGUUAAUUGAUGGGGUUAUCGCAAGAGAAGCUCCUGAUCGAAGCCCCGGUAAACGGCGGCCGUAACUAUAACGGUCCUAAGGUAGCGAAAUUCCUUGUCGGGUAAGUUCCGACCUGCACGAAUGGCGUAAUGAUGGCCAGGCUGUCUCCACCCGAGACUCAGUGAAAUUGAACUCGCUGUGAAGAUGCAGUGUACCCGCGGCAAGACGGAAAGACCCCGUGAACCUUUACUACAGCUUGACACUGAACAUUGAGCCUUGAUGUGUAGGAUAGGUGGGAGGCUUUGAAGCGUGGACGCCAGUCUGCGUGGAGCCAACCUUGAAAUACCACCCUUUAAUGUUUGAUGUUCUAACCUGGCGCCAUAAUCUGGCGUGGGGACAGUGUCUGGUGGGUAGUUUGACUGGGGCGGUCUCCUCCCAAAGUGUAACGGAGGAGCACGAAGGUCAGCUAAUCCUGGUCGGACAUCAGGAGGUUAGUGCAAUGGCAUAAGCUGGCUUGACUGCGAGAGUGACGGCUCGAGCAGGUGCGAAAGCAGGUCAUAGUGAUCCGGUGGUUCUGUAUGGAAGGGCCAUCGCUCAACGGAUAAAAGGUACUCCGGGGAUAACAGGCUGAUACCGCCCAAGAGUUCAUAUCGACGGCGGUGUUUGGCACCUCGAUGUCGGCUCAUCACAUCCUGGGGCUGAAGUAGGUCCCAAGGGUAUGGCUGUUCGCCAUUUAAAGUGGUACGCGAGCUGGGUUUAGAACGUCGUGAGACAGUUCGGUCCCUAUCUGCCGUGGGCGCUGGAGAAUUGAGGGGGGCUGCUCCCAGUACGAGAGGACCGGAGUGGACGCAUCACUGGUGUUCGGGUUGUCAUGCCAAUGGCACUGCCCGGUAGCUAAAUGCGGAAGAGAUAAGUGCUGAAAGCAUCUAAGCACGAAACUUGCCCCAAGAUGAGUUCUCCCUGAGACUGUAAGUCUCCUGAAGGAACGUUGAAGACGACGACGUUGAUAGGCCGGGUGUGUAAGCGCAGCGAUGCGUUGAGCUAACCGGUACUAAUGAACCGUGAGGCUUAACCUU
RNAcentral lists this ribosomal RNA (2257 nucleotides) under Cronobacter sakazakii. RNAcentral describes it as "partial 23S ribosomal RNA". It matches the Rfam family "Bacterial large subunit ribosomal RNA", at positions 690 to 2925 of the family's 2925-position model. Lineage: Bacteria; Pseudomonadati; Pseudomonadota; Gammaproteobacteria; Enterobacterales; Enterobacteriaceae. The record is from RNAcentral.